UAGCUUAGCAGGCGACGUUGCGGGCCCUGGGCGCCAGGAGAGCUUCCCGGAGUCGACCUUCCUGCUGGCUGCUCUGUGACCGCUUCCCGGCUCUGCCCUCUUGGCCGAAGUGCCCGCUGCCGGGCGCGGGCCUCAGGUAACGGUGGU
Regulatory RNA element from Homo sapiens (human), 147 nucleotides. It matches the Rfam family "Human acetyl-coA cholesterol acyltransferase mRNA". The record is from Rfam. Lineage: Eukaryota; Metazoa; Chordata; Mammalia; Primates; Hominidae.